Molecule: transfer RNA, 74 nt
Filed under: Micromonospora zamorensis
Lineage: Bacteria; Bacillati; Actinomycetota; Actinomycetes; Micromonosporales; Micromonosporaceae
Also listed under: 2 other names
Description: tRNA-Thr
Source: RNAcentral
GCCAGCGAAGCUCACCAGGGCAGAGCGGGCCCCUCGUAAGGGCGAGGAUGCGGGUCCGCCUGCCGUCGCUGGCU